AUUAUUAAGAGUUUCAUAUUGUUAGUAUAUACUAAAUAUGAAAACAAAAAAUUAUGGCGGUAUUUUAAGCUUUUCAGAGGAAUUUGCUCUAUAAUGGAUAUUACGCCUAAAUCUUACUAAGGUUAGUUAAGCAGUUUGUAUACCACUAUUAAAGUAAUAAUUUAUAAUUAUUACUUCAAUUUAUAGUUUUUUAAAAAAAUUUAAGUCAAGGUGCAGCAAAAAUUUUAGAAUGAAGUGAAUUACAUUUCUUUUUAGAAAAAUAAAAUGAAAAAUGUUUUAGGAUUUGAUAGUAAAAUUUUAAUAAAAUGAAAAUUUGAAUUAAGCUCUAAAAUAUGUAC
RNAcentral lists this ribosomal RNA (338 nucleotides) under Haemaphysalis punctata. RNAcentral describes it as "partial 12S ribosomal RNA". RNAcentral also lists the same sequence under 1 other name. Lineage: Eukaryota; Metazoa; Arthropoda; Arachnida; Ixodida; Ixodidae. The record is from RNAcentral.